GCUAAUCCUGGUCGGACAUCAGGAGGUUAGUGCAAAGGCAUAAGCUAGCUUGACUGCGAGAGUGACGGCUCGAGCAGGUGCGAAAGCAGGUCUUAGUGAUCCGGUGGUUCUGAAUGGAAGGGCCAUCGCUCAACGGAUAAAAGGUACUCCGGGGAUAACAGGCUGAUACCGCCCAAGAGUUCAUAUCGACGGCGGUGUUUGGCACCUCGAUGUCGGCUCAUCACAUCCUGGGGCUGAAGUAGGUCCCAAGGGUAUGGCUGUUCGCCAUUUAAAGUGGUACGCGAGCUGGGUUUAGAACGUCGUGAGACAGUUCGGUCCCUAUCUGCCGUGGGCGCUGGAGAAUUGAGGGGGGCUGCUCCUAGUACGAGAGGACCGGAGUGGACGCAUCACUGGUGUUCGGGUUGUCAUGCCAAUGGCAUUGCCCGGUAGCUAAAUGCGGAAGAGAUAAGUGCUGAAAGCAUCUAAGCACGAAACUUGCCCCGAGAUGAGUUCUCCCUGAGACUUAGAGUCUCCUGAAGGAACGUUGAAGACGACGACGUUGAUAGGCCGGGUGUGUAAGCGCAGCGAUGCGUUGAGCUAACCGGUACUAAUGAACCGUGAGGCUUAACCUUACAACGCCGAAG
This 623-nucleotide ribosomal RNA is filed under the name Salmonella enterica. RNAcentral describes it as "partial 23S ribosomal RNA". It matches the Rfam family "Bacterial large subunit ribosomal RNA", at positions 2320 to 2925 of the family's 2925-position model. The record is from RNAcentral. RNAcentral also lists the same sequence under 1 other name. Lineage: Bacteria; Pseudomonadati; Pseudomonadota; Gammaproteobacteria; Enterobacterales; Enterobacteriaceae.